GGAGCCGCUGAGGGGCUCGGCUCGCUUCAAACCGCUGGAGGACAUCGGCGAGAAGCCAUCCGCUGCUGCAGGAGGCUCUCGUUUGACGACACGCACAUCAGCGGAGACAGUUCGUGUAGAAGAGGUCGCCCUUUCAGUUCCGUUUUUGCCUUUCCUGCCAGGAUUUUACCUGAAGAACUAGUAACCUGUAAGAGCCGUUUCUCGACCCGGUUCUGCUGUGCUGGUGGAUUUACUAAGUUACCGCGGAGCCGCCGGAUAAAACUCACGCUAGUUUGUGACGGAAACUGGACGAUCGAUGACGAUGUACCUUCGUCUUUGACCCCGAUUUACACACCAAGAUCGUGCGUCUUUUGAAAAAUUAAGCAGCUGUUCACCCGUGACACUGUCCGCCUUCAUGGCUCGUUUGUACGGACCCCCCCACCCGGGGGGUAAAACUGUCCCACCGGCAUGGUAAAGUAAAAGUAGAGUGAAAACCACAACUUGUCUUUUUAGACUGGUCGUGUUUCCUUCAGCAGCUCUGAUUUUUCCGAAGUCGGAUGUGCGCGUCGUCGUUUCCUUGGAAUAUAAACCUGGCAGUUUUUCAUCAUUUGCGGAUUAUAAAAACGAAUCGCUGUGGAUUAAAUGAUGUUCGGUAACAUCCCGAGACCUGUGUGGAAUAUAAUCUUAGCUUCUCUUAUGAAUGAAUGGCACCUCCAGCCCAUCAGGGUGUUACCCCGUUAAAGGAGGACUCCAGGUGACUGUCCAGGUAGGGCCUCCUCCGAGGGUGGAGGGAGGAGGGACCGAUUUACUGCCACCAUCAUGCCUGUGGUGAGCCACCAUCCACGAGAGCUCCUGAUGCCAGUCCGGUGGACCGUGUGGAUGGACGUCAGGAUUCAGUCCCCCUUGAUGCCCCCAGCAUAGCUGCUUUCCACGUGCACAUCCCUGGCUGCAUGAGGCCAUUAAGCUCACAUUCUGCAGGGAAGGAGACCCCAUGGGCUGGCGGAAACUGCUAGAACCUGUUUUUGACUCAAACGAGUUGGCUUCUCCCUGCCUCCGGGUUCCCCGCAGAGCAGAACCAGUGGAUGGCUGAGGAAACCCGUGAUGGGAGUUAUGCUGUCCGACCGGCAGGCAAAAGGAAGGAACGAAGGACAUGUAGCAUCAGCCGUGAGUCCCAGCCUUGAACCUGUGUCUUCACACAGCUGCGUGGAACUUUGUUCACCUUGCUGGUGUUUCCCACUGUCUCUGUAACCUUUGAAUGCCAGUUUGUUUGAAACAAAAUAAAAAGAAU
Molecule: long non-coding RNA, 1267 nt
Organism: Scleropages formosus (Asian bonytongue)
Lineage: Eukaryota; Metazoa; Chordata; Actinopteri; Osteoglossiformes; Osteoglossidae
Exons: 4
Source: RefSeq, a predicted model, not a curated record